UAGAAAAGAUCUGUUGCUAUGUCAACUCAACUUACUUGAAAAAUGAAGGAAAAAAACUGGGCUUCUUCAUGUCUAUACGUAGCCCAUCUAAUUCACAACUAAAAACUUUGUCUAACAGUAAAGGUAAAGUCCAUACCCUUUCCCCUCCCCCUUUAAUUUGCCGGUUUCAACCAAAACAAAUCUAUCAAAAUAUCAGUUUUCAGUCUCGCCAUAAAAGAUCUUCCUCCACCAUUCAGAGAUGCAUUUAAUGUUUAAAUUCUAGAUCACAAACUGACGACCUCCUCUUCAACUUCUCUCCAUGUCCCCGUAUAUAUAUUGGUAGCCACUUAUCAGAUCCGAUUAUUCUCCAAACCAAAAUCCCGAGCAGCCAUACCGAUUCGAAAUCCCAAAGGUCUCUCUCUGUGAAGCAUAAGAUCCAUCAACUUCCUGCAUAGAACAAAGGGAUGGCACAAAUCAUCUCCACUUUCUAUGAACUACUGAAGAAAUACAGAGAAGCCAGCGAAGAACCCAAAGUUACAGAUUUUCCGAUCGCCACUGACACCAAAGCUCCAGCGUAACCAAACCUCCUCUCCGGGUACCACUAUCUUUGCCGUCAGCAGAUGGGCCGAUCGUCAUCCACUUCAAUUUCACCAACGAUCUUCCACCGCACUACCACUUUUUUCUCUUCGCCACCAUAUGUUCCCAUUCCCACCAGUUUAUACCAUGUUUUUUCUCAGUCCUUAACCAACAUUUUCUCUUCUGUUUAUCACUAUAUAAUCUGAUUUUCAGAAAUCUAAAAGGUUUAGGAACCGGGCGCAUUUCUAUGGAACCAGAAUAACAUUUCAAGCUAGGAUUUCGAAACCACCCCAAUUUGGUUUCAGUGAUGACGCCCUAAUCGAUUGAAUUCUCAGUCUAAAAAAGAGUACAACGAAAGGAGGAAGAAGCAAGUCUCCUUGCACCAGAUUUACGGGCUCAACUGAUGAGACCUUUGAAGAGAUCACCCCUCAAACUUAUGCCUUUCAUAUACUUUUUGUUGACGUGGUUGUAGGUCUGUUCCAUCAAACAAAUUAGAAAUAGUUCCAUGUAGCUAAGAAGAUAUAUAAGGAACGACGAGCAGCCAUUACUGAGUUUGAGAUAUUCCGCAAUAACGGUACAUGGCUCUGGCAUGUUGUUGGAGCCAGGACUCAAUAGUUUGUCCACAUGACUAACUGGUAGUAUGAGUUCAUGGAUUCAUAGAAAAGGUUCCACCACGUGUUUGAUGCUUGUGGUGUGAAUAAAUAGCUGAAGAAUGUGGCUUUAAAGAAGGCGAUAGCGUGAUCAUAGAAGAUGUGUGUAUUAGUUACUCUGAAUCUUUGUUGGUUAUAAGUGGUUUAAAUUUGGGGAUUGUAAAAUUUACUGUAUUUUGUGUGUGUGAAUAUCUGUAGUUGGUGUGGCAUGACUCAACCAAUGGCUUGAACAAGACUAUGACACUCAGUUAGAUGGCCUCAAUGGAAAUGAACCAUCUUAGUUCUUUUGUGGAGUGUUUCUUAUACUGACCCUCCAAGUGAAUCAGAUGCUUUUUCCAGUCAAUGAUUUGUGUACAUGUUUUUCCUACAAAUAUGUAUGUAGUCUUAAAUAGAACAGUUUCAGCUAGAAAUAAACUAAAUAAAAUUUUGUUUUCAUUU
Brassica napus (rape) is the source of this 1643-nucleotide long non-coding RNA. RefSeq lists it as uncharacterized. The transcript is spliced from 4 exons. The record is from RefSeq and is a predicted model, not a curated record. NCBI's taxonomy places the organism in Eukaryota, Viridiplantae, Streptophyta, Magnoliopsida, Brassicales, Brassicaceae.